GCCUUCCUCUAAACCCUAGUCUUCUCUUUUUCUCCUCCCUCCAAUGGCCAACCUCACCCCUACCACCAAUGCCAUUGUUCCUGUGGCUCCUAUUGCCCAGCCGCCCAUGUCUGCUGCCCAUCAUUUCAUUUCUCUCAAAUUGACCUCCAAGAACUUCAUCUUCUGGAAGACUCAGAUUGUUCCCUUCCUCAGGGGUCAGAAGCUUCUUUCUUUUCUUGAUCGUACUCACCCUUGUCCAACCGAUCCUACUGAGGUCGUUACCUGACAGGACCAGGAUGCUAUCAUUAUGAGUCUCAUCAUCGCAUCUCUCUCUGAAGAAGCGUUUCCCCUUAUUGUUGGGAAAGACACCAGUAAAGCAAUCUGGGAUGCCCUACAUGCCUCCUAUGGCUCAUCUUCCACCACGAAGACUUCUCUCUCUCAACAUGGGUCUCCAAAAGCUGGUUCACUCUACUGGUGAAUCCGUCACAUCUUUUCUCCAAUGUGCCAAGGCCCUUGCCGAUGAACUCACUGCUGCCGGGAAGCUGCUUGCUCCAGAGGACUUUAAUCUUUAUAUUUUUUAUGCCCUGAGGUAGGAUUUGCAGGAUAUUGUGCCUACCCUUAUGGCUCGCCCUGAUCCAAUACCGUUCCAUGAGCUUCAAAGUUUACUGAUCAGUUAUGAAUAUCUCCACUCCAAUACCGCCAGCAAGUCUGAUGCCACUGAUCCCGCCCCCACACCAGAAGCCAAUCUUACCUACUCUGACUCUCCCUCUCCCACAGGAACUACCAACUCUGGUCAUAGCACAGUGAGGGCUCGCGGUGGGCGUGGUGGUGGUAGCGGAGGCUGUGACAACCUUUACUACAACAUCUGUCAACUUCUAAUCACAUUGCCGCCAAUUGCUUUUACAGACCAUACCCCAAUACCCAAACCUAUCAAACCAACCCAACAAACCAGUGCCCCUCACAUGCCCUAUACAAUCCCCCCCCCACUACACCAUUCCCUACAACCAUUCCAACCCUCCACUUCUCCCUACACCACCACCCUCUACUGCAUUAAUCUGGUACCCAGACAUUGGUGCCUCUCACCAUUUCACCCCUGACAUCCAUUCCCUAUCCACCCAUGAUGGCAACACUGGUCAAGAACAACUCUAUGUCGGUAAUGGUGACCAAGUCAGUUCUUCUUUCUAGACCGAGUAACGGGGGACUCUACACUCUUUCCUCCCUGGUUCCUUCCUCAACAGUUGCUAAUGUUGCUGUUCGCACCUCUCUAGACACCUGGCAUCAUCAUCUCGGCCAUCCCUAUCAACGCCUUCUUCAGUUCAUGGUUCACUCCAAUGGACUUCCAUGUCAAUCCUCUUGUCUCCGUUUGUUGUGCACUCCUGUUAGUUGGGCAAGUAUUGUCAUCUUUCUUUAGGUCCCUCCCCCUCUCGUAGUAUGUACGCCUUAGAACUUGUCUAUAGUGAUGUAUGGGGUCCCUCUCAUGCAGUCUCAUCUGAGGGCCAUCGUUAUUUUGUAUUCUUUCUUGAUGAUUGUAGUAAAUCUCUCUAGUUUUAUCCAAUGGUUAAUAAAUUUGAGGUUUUUAAAAUUUUUCCUCAA
Long non-coding RNA from Macadamia integrifolia, 1572 nucleotides. RefSeq lists it as uncharacterized. The record is from RefSeq and is a predicted model, not a curated record. Lineage: Eukaryota; Viridiplantae; Streptophyta; Magnoliopsida; Proteales; Proteaceae. The transcript is spliced from 2 exons.